CACUAAGAUGCCCCUUCCACACUCCAUUAAAUUGACUUCAUUUUCUUGACAAUGAGAUUUCCAUUUAGUUUUCAUCAACUGCUUAGAUUUCCUCAUCUUCAAAUGCCUCAUUUUCAAAAGCAAUAGGAAGUCUAUGCUUCAUACUAUAUAAUGUGCAAGGCUUCCAUUUAAUGAAUUGUUUGGCUAAUUUUUUUAGGCAAAUAAGCACAUUAAUUUGUACAAGCUAUUAAUACCAAUUAUUAACGCUUUUCAUUUUGUUGGUUUCAGCAAUCUCUGCAUGACACAUACUGCAACAAAAUGGAAAUUGAUUUCACCAAGUUUGGCAACUCUGCAGUGUUUUGUAACCUUUGCAACGACGCUUAUUUGAAAGGCUGGGUUUCAUUAUCCUUCUUUUGCCUGCUUCUCAAGAUGUUGCUGGGAGAUGAGAAAUGUCUGGGCAAUAUUUGCAAUGUACUCUCAAGAGAAGGAGAGGUCACUUCUGGCUAGCCUGCUACCAAAGGAGUGUCUCGGGGAAUCUGGUGCCAUCAUCACACAGAACAAAUAGAUUCCCGCUGUACAUAACUGAAGACUUCCGUGAAUGGUCAGCCACGACCACAUUAAAAGGACCUGCGGACUAACAACCAAAAAGUGAUUCUUGUCGUUUCUAAAAACUGUCCUGAAGUGCUGUUUUCUGUAGGAACUGGUUCCCUGGGUCUUUUUGCUCUGUUUUCUCCAUUAUUUAAACACACUGUCUUCUGUUCUCCUGCUGUUUGCUCCUGUUAACACCACUCAGGACUUAGAGAGCAGGGCAUGGCCUCCCCUACAUUAAUCCUCUCUCUUAACCUCUGCUAGCUAAGACUGCACUGCAAAGUUUGAACACAACUCUACUGAAGUUUAGGUCAUCUUGAAGAAGUAGAGCACAAAAUAACUGACCACGGAUUCAUAAAGUGGUUGCAUAGGGUCACUGUACAGAGCCCUGGCACCCCCGGCCUGCCUCCCUGUGCCAACAGCCAGCUAACAAUUCCUACCCAUUUGCCACUACUCCUCCCUUUAGGCUAAAUUAACUUUAGCCUAAAACUGCCUCUUUACACAUUGUAAAGGUUUCUUCAUACAUAGCGAACUGUAACCUAACUGGAUAUGUAAACAGACUGUAAUCUACUCUUGUGCCAAUCACUGAGUUUCGGCCAAUCACAAGUGGCCAACUGUUCAAAUCAUGUUGAAGUAAGGCAAAGUCUGAUUUGGCUCAUCUGGCUGUUUCUAUACUUCACUUCCAUUUUCUGAACAUUGCUUUCCUUUUCCUGUGCAUAAAUCUUCUUCGACCACGCAGCAGGGCUGGUCUCUCCGAACUUGGUUCGGGAGGCUGUUCAACUCACAAAUCGUUCUUGCUCAGUUAAACUCUGUUAAAUUUAAUUUGUCUAAGGUUUUUUUUUUUUUUUCACCCCUAACCACCAGGAAUUUAUUGAACAUUUUAAUGCUUUAAUUAUUUGAAGUUCCAUCUGUAUCUGACAC
This 1488-nucleotide long non-coding RNA is filed under the name Pan troglodytes (chimpanzee). Its description in RNAcentral is "lncRNA (ENSPTRG00000053992.1)". The record is from RNAcentral. Lineage: Eukaryota; Metazoa; Chordata; Mammalia; Primates; Hominidae.